UACGGGGGGGCAAGCGUUGUUCGGAAUUACUGGGCGUAAAGGGCUCGUAGGUGGCCAACUAAGUCAGACGUGAAAUCCCUCGGCUUAACCGGGGAACUGCGUCUGAUACUGGAUGGCUGGAGCAUGGGAGAGGGAUGCGGAAUUCCAGGUGUAGCGGUGAAAUGCGUAGAUAUCUGGAGGAACACCGGUGGCGAAGGCAGGUCUCUGGGCCACUACUGACGCUGAGAAGCGAAAGCAUGGGGAGCGAACAGG
This 252-nucleotide ribosomal RNA is filed under the name uncultured bacterium. RNAcentral describes it as "partial 16S ribosomal RNA". It matches the Rfam family "Bacterial small subunit ribosomal RNA", at positions 524 to 776 of the family's 1533-position model. The record is from RNAcentral.